This 497-nucleotide ribosomal RNA is filed under the name uncultured bacterium. RNAcentral describes it as "partial 16S ribosomal RNA". It matches the Rfam family "Bacterial small subunit ribosomal RNA", at positions 28 to 507 of the family's 1533-position model. The record is from RNAcentral.
GAUGAACGCUAGCGGCGUGCCUAAUACAUGCAAGUCGAGCGAACGGACGAGAAGCUUGCUUCUCUGAUGUUAGCGGCGGACGGGUGAGUAACACGUGGAUAACCUACCUAUAAGACUGGGAUAACUUCGGGAAACCGGAUCUAAUACCGGAUAAUAUUUUGAACCGCAUGGUUCAAAAGUGAAAGACGGUCUUGCUGUCACUUAUAGAUGGAUCCGCGCUGCAUUAGCUAGUUGGUAAGGUAACGGCUUACCAAGGCAACGAUGCAUAGCCGACCUGAGAGGGUGAUCGGCCACACUGGAACUGAGACACGGUCCAGACUCCUACGGGAGGCAGCAGUAGGGAAUCUUCCGCAAUGGGCGAAAGCCUGACGGAGCAACGCCGCGUGAGUGAUGAAGGUCUUCGGAUCGUAAAACUCUGUUAUUAGGGAAGAACAUAUGUGUAAGUAACUGUGCACAUCUUGACGGUACCUAAUCAGAAAGCCACGGCUAACUACGUG